Molecule: ribosomal RNA, 159 nt
Filed under: Triticum aestivum (bread wheat)
Lineage: Eukaryota; Viridiplantae; Streptophyta; Magnoliopsida; Poales; Poaceae
Description: partial small subunit ribosomal RNA
Source: RNAcentral
AUGGACGUUGAAGACGACAUCACUUGGAAAUUUGAGGCAAAUGGGGAAUACUCAGCAGGUUCUGCUUAUAGGGCACAAUUCCCAGGCUCCACCUCCACAAUAAUGAACAAGACCAUCUGGAAGGUUUGGGUUCCUCCCAAGGUCAAGUUCUUCUCAUAG